Molecule: long non-coding RNA, 436 nt
Filed under: Cricetulus griseus (Chinese hamster)
Lineage: Eukaryota; Metazoa; Chordata; Mammalia; Rodentia; Cricetidae
Description: lncRNA (ENSCGRG00000024465.1)
Source: RNAcentral
UGGAAUUAGUUGCAAAACCUCUCUAGAAGCUAUAAAAUCCCUCUAUACCUCUGUUUCAUAGAAAUGAUCUUCAAAAUUGGACCCUAACUGUCAUCAAAAGAAAUGAACAUAGCUGUUUUUCUGAAAAACUUGUGAAAAAUAGAAAUGUAGAAGUCAAGAAAUCUUUGCAGAUAACAUGUGAAAACCCCAACUACAGUGAGCCGACCAAGCACACAUCGCUGUAUAAGAACUGUAAGGAAAUAGUCAAACCUCCAAUGGUCCAGAAGGAUGCUGAAUUUGGAGAUGAGGGCUAUUACUCUUGUGUGUUUUCUCUCCGUCACAAUGGGAAACAGUACAACAUCACCAAGACCAUCAAUAUAACAGUUACUAAAGGGAACAGUAAAAUAACUCCAGCUAUUUUGGGACCAAAGUUUGACACUGUUAAAGUAGAACUCGG